RNAcentral lists this ribosomal RNA (253 nucleotides) under uncultured bacterium. RNAcentral's name for it is "partial 16S ribosomal RNA". It matches the Rfam family "Bacterial small subunit ribosomal RNA", at positions 524 to 776 of the family's 1533-position model. The record is from RNAcentral.
UACGUAGGGUGCAAGCGUUAAUCGGAAUUACUGGGCGUAAAGCGUGCGCAGGCGGUUUUGUAAGUCUGACGUGAAAUCCCCGGGCUCAACCCGGGAACUGCGUCCGAUACUGGCAGGCUUGAAUCCGGGAGAGGGAUGCGGAAUUCCAGGUGUAGCGGUGAAAUGCGUAGAUAUCUGGAGGAACACCGGUGGCGAAGGCGGCAUCCUGGACCGGCAUUGACGCUGAGGCGCGAAAGCCAGGGGAGCAAACGGG